AACGAACGCUGGCGGCAUGCCUAACACAUGCAAGUCGAACGAGAACUUCGGGUCUAGUGGCGCACGGGUGCGUAACGCGUGGGAACCUGCCCUUAGGUUCGGAAUAACUCCCCGAAAGGGGUGCUAAUACCGGAUAAUGUCUUCGGACCAAAGAUUUAUCGCCUUUGGAUGGGCCCGCGUUGGAUUAGCUAGUUGGUAGGGUAAAAGCCUACCAAGGCGACGAUCCAUAGCUGGUCUGAGAGGAUGAUCAGCCACACUGGGACUGAGACACGGCCCAGACUCCUACGGGAGGCAGCAGUGGGGAAUAUUGGACAAUGGGCUGAAGCCUGAUCCAGCAAUGCCGCGUGAGUGAUGAAGGCCUUAGGGUUGUAAAGCUCUUUUACCCGUGAUGAUAAUGACAGUACCGGGAGAAUAAGCUCCGGCUAACUCCGUG
RNAcentral lists this ribosomal RNA (433 nucleotides) under uncultured bacterium. Its description in RNAcentral is "partial 16S ribosomal RNA". It matches the Rfam family "Bacterial small subunit ribosomal RNA", at positions 29 to 507 of the family's 1533-position model. The record is from RNAcentral.